UGUUUAGUGAGAUACAAGCAGG
This 22-nucleotide non-coding RNA is filed under the name Rattus norvegicus (Norway rat). Lineage: Eukaryota; Metazoa; Chordata; Mammalia; Rodentia; Muridae. The record is from RNAcentral.